UACGUAGGGUGCGAGCGUUGUCCGGAAUUAUUGGGCGUAAAGAGCUCGUAGGCGGUUUGUUGCGUCGGCCGUGAAAACCUGCAGCUUAACUGUGGGCCUGCGGCCGAUACGGGCAGACUUGAGUUCGGUAGGGGAGACUGGAAUUCCUGGUGUAGCGGUGAGAUGCGCAGAUAUCAGGAGGAACACCCGUGGCGAAAGCGGCUCUCUGGGACGGUACUGACGCUGAGACGCGAAAGCGUGGGGAGCAAACAGG
Molecule: ribosomal RNA, 253 nt
Filed under: uncultured bacterium
Lineage: Bacteria
Description: partial 16S ribosomal RNA
Rfam family: Bacterial small subunit ribosomal RNA
Source: RNAcentral